AAAAGCUCUACAUGACAUAUCCAGUGAGUAAGUAUGCUAGAAUUUCUAUUGGAAAAUAAGAGGUUCCAAGUCAAUGUCCAAGGUCAAGUAUUUAUAUGUAUAUAAUAAUGCAUAUAUAUUAUUCAUAAAAAGCAUCCAGCAAAAAUUGUGACAUUAGUUUAUCAAGAGAUAUCAACUCAAAGACAAAAAUUAUAAGCAAUAACACUAUGAAAUGCAAUGUUUUUUCCAUUGUGGAUCCAAUAAAAUCUGAUCAUCAAACUUACAACAUCUGUGCCAAUGAUGUAG
This 285-nucleotide unclassified non-coding RNA is filed under the name Hevea brasiliensis (rubber tree). The record is from RNAcentral. Lineage: Eukaryota; Viridiplantae; Streptophyta; Magnoliopsida; Malpighiales; Euphorbiaceae.